RNAcentral lists this ribosomal RNA (446 nucleotides) under uncultured bacterium. Its description in RNAcentral is "partial 16S ribosomal RNA". It matches the Rfam family "Bacterial small subunit ribosomal RNA", at positions 338 to 795 of the family's 1533-position model. The record is from RNAcentral.
CCUACGGGAGGCAGCAGUCGAGAAUCAUUCACAAUGGGGGAAACCCUGAUGGUGCGACGCCGCGUGGGGGAAUGAAGGUCUUCGGAUUGUAAACCCCUGUCAUGUGGGAGCAAAUUAAAAAGAUAGUACCACACGAGGAAGAGACGGCUAACUCUGUGCCAGCAGCCGCGGUAAUACAGAGGUCUCAAGCGUUGUUCGGAAUCACUGGGCGUAAAGCGUGCGUAGGCUGUUUCGUAAGUCGUGUGUGAAAGGCGCGGGCUCAACCCGCGGACGGCACAUGAUACUGCGAGACUAGAGUAAUGGAGGGGGAACCGGAAUUCUCGGUGUAGCAGUGAAAUGCGUAGAUAGCGAGAGGAACACUCGUGGCGAAGGCGGGUUCCUGGACAUUAACUGACGCUGAGGCACGAAGGCCAGGGGAGCGAAAGGGAUUAGAUACCCGGGUAGUC